UACGUAGGCAGCGAGCGUUGUUCGGAGUUACUGGGCGUAAAGAGUGCGUAGGCGGUUUUCUAAGUUUGGUGUGAAAUCUCCCGGCUUAACUGGGAGGGUGCGCCGAAGACUGGAAGGCUUGAGUAUGGGAGAGGUAAGCGGAAUUCCUGGUGUAGCGGUGAAAUGCGUAGAUAUCAGGAGGAACACCGGUGGCGAAGGCGGCAUCCUGGACCAACACUGACGCUGAUGAGCGAAAGCCAGGGGAGCAAACGGG
This 253-nucleotide ribosomal RNA is filed under the name uncultured bacterium. RNAcentral describes it as "partial 16S ribosomal RNA". It matches the Rfam family "Bacterial small subunit ribosomal RNA", at positions 524 to 776 of the family's 1533-position model. The record is from RNAcentral.